GACGAACCGUGCGAACGUUGUUCGGAAUCACUGGGCUUAAAGGGCGCGUAGGCGGGCUCGCAAGUCCGGGGUGAAAGCCCCCAGCUCAACUGGGGAAGCGCCUUGGAUACUGCGGGCCUGGAGGGAGGUAGGGGCGUGCGGAACUUCCGGUGGAGCGGUGAAAUGCGUAGAUAUCGGAAGGAACACCGGUGGCGAAGGCGGCGCGCUGGACCUCUUCUGACGCUGAGGCGCGAAAGCCAGGGGAGCAAACGGG
Molecule: ribosomal RNA, 253 nt
Filed under: uncultured bacterium
Lineage: Bacteria
Also listed under: 1 other name
Description: partial 16S ribosomal RNA
Rfam family: Bacterial small subunit ribosomal RNA
Source: RNAcentral